AGCAGCCGCGGUAAUUCCAGCUCCAAUAGCGUAUAUUAAAGUUGUUGCAGUUAAAAAGCUCGUAGUUGAAUUUCGGAGUUUGUCGGUUGGUCGGGCUUCACUGUCCGCACUGACCUGAUGGAUUCCUACCUUCUGAAUAACCAGCAUGCUAUUAAGUUAGUGCGUUGGGGAAGCAGAGCUAUUACCUUGAAAAAAUUAGAGUGCUUAAAGCAGGCUUAUGCUUGAAUAGAUUAGCAUGGAAUAAUAAAAUAGGACGGCAUGGUUCUAUUUUGUUGGUUUCCUAGGAUCACCGUAAUGAUUAAUAGGGAUAGUUGGGGGCAUUAGUAUUCAAUUGUCAGAGGUGAAAUUCUUGGAUUUAUUGAAGACUAACUUCUGCGAAAGCAUUUGCCAAGGAUGUUUUCAUUAAUCAAGAA
RNAcentral lists this ribosomal RNA (413 nucleotides) under uncultured Glomeromycotina. RNAcentral's name for it is "SSU rRNA". It matches the Rfam family "Eukaryotic small subunit ribosomal RNA", at positions 569 to 983 of the family's 1831-position model. Lineage: Eukaryota; Fungi; Glomeromycota. The record is from RNAcentral.